Molecule: ribosomal RNA, 404 nt
Filed under: uncultured bacterium
Lineage: Bacteria
Description: partial 16S ribosomal RNA
Rfam family: Bacterial small subunit ribosomal RNA
Source: RNAcentral
GACGAACGCUGGCGGCGUGCCUAAUACAUGCAAGUCGAACGAGGGGCGGACGGGUGAGAAACACGUGGGUAACUACCCAUCAGAGGGGGAUAACUACUGGAAACGGUAGCUAAUACCGCAGACUAUCGGAUCACACAUAUGGGAUUAGCUAGUAGGUGAGGUAAUGGCUCACCUAGGCGACGAUCCCUAGCUGGUCUGAGAGGAUGAUCAGCCACACUGGGACUGAGACACGGCCCAGACUCCUACGGAGGCAGCAGUGGGGAAUAUUGCACAAUGGGCGCAAGCCUGAUGCAGCCAUGCCGCGUGUAUGAAGAAGGCCCUAGGGUUGUAAAGUACUUUCAGUCGGGAGGCGUUACCGACAGAAGAAGCACCGGCUAACUCCGUGCCAGCAGCCGCGGUAAUAC